GGUGGGGCCUCUCGCCCAUGCCGGCCUUGCGCUCGCGACCUCGGUCGGCGCCUGGGUCAAUGCACUGAUCCUCGCGGUUCUGCUGGCGCGUGCCGGGCGGCUCGCCGUCGAUCAGCGCCUUGUCCGGCUCACGGCGCUCAGCCUUGCCGCAUGCUUUGCGCUCGCCGCCGUCGUUACGGGACUAGACCCCUUUGCCGAGCGGUUUCUGGGCCUCAUCCCCGCCGUGCCGGACCUUGUCCCCGUCGCACUGAAGCUCGGUCUCGGCGGGGCCGCCUAUCUCGGGGUGAUGGCCCUGGGAUGGCGGGCGAUUUCGCGAAAAGCCGACCCUCUUCGUUAACACUACCGCCAGAAUCGGCUUGCCGGUCAGGGGCUUGUUGGUAC
This 381-nucleotide unclassified non-coding RNA is filed under the name plant metagenome. RNAcentral describes it as "partial contains 5.8S ribosomal RNA, internal transcribed spacer 2, and large subunit ribosomal RNA". The record is from RNAcentral.